Molecule: ribosomal RNA, 2272 nt
Filed under: Salmonella enterica subsp. enterica serovar Paratyphi B var. L(+) tartrate +
Lineage: Bacteria; Pseudomonadati; Pseudomonadota; Gammaproteobacteria; Enterobacterales; Enterobacteriaceae
Description: Salmonella enterica subsp. enterica serovar Java partial 23S ribosomal RNA
Rfam family: Bacterial large subunit ribosomal RNA
Source: RNAcentral
GGGCGUUAAGUUGCAGGGUAUAGACCCGAAACCCGGUGAUCUAGCCAUGGGCAGGUUGAAGGUUGGGUAACACUAACUGGAGGACCGAACCGACUAAUGUUGAAAAAUUAGCGGAUGACCUGUGGCUGGGGGUGAAAGGCCAAUCAAACCGGGAGAUAGCUGGUUCUCCCCGAAAGCUAUUUAGGUAGCGCCUCGUGAAUUCAUCUCCGGGGGUAGAGCACUGUUUCGGCUAGGGGGCCAUCCCGGCUUACCAACCCGAUGCAAACUGCGAAUACCGGAGAAUGUUAUCACGGGAGACACACGGCGGGUGCUAACGUCCGUCGUGAAGAGGGAAACAACCCAGACCGCCAGCUAAGGUCCCAAAGUCAUGGUUAAGUGGGAAACGAUGUGGGAAGGCCCAGACAGCCAGGAUGUUGGCUUAGAAGCAGCCAUCAUUUAAAGAAAGCGUAAUAGCUCACUGGUCGAGUCGGCCUGCGCGGAAGAUGUAACGGGGCUAAACCAUGCACCGAAGCUGCGGCAGCGACGCUUAUGCGUUGUUGGGUAGGGGAGCGUUCUGUAAGCCUGUGAAGGUGGCCUGUGAGGGUUGCUGGAGGUAUCAGAAGUGCGAAUGCUGACAUAAGUAACGAUAAAGCGGGUGAAAAGCCCGCUCGCCGGAAGACCAAGGGUUCCUGUCCAACGUUAAUCGGGGCAGGGUGAGUCGACCCCUAAGGCGAGGCCGAAAGGCGUAGUCGAUGGGAAACAGGUUAAUAUUCCUGUACUUGGUGUUACUGCGAAGGGGGGACGGAGAAGGCUAUGUUGGCCGGGCGACGGUUGUCCCGGUUUAAGCGUGUAGGUGUGUGUUCCAGGUAAAUCCGGUUCACUUUAACACUGAGGCGUGAUGACGAGGCACUACGGUGCUGAAGCAACAAAUGCCCUGCUUCCAGGAAAAGCCUCUAAGCAUCAGGUAACAUCAAAUCGUACCCCAAACCGACACAGGUGGUCAGGUAGAGAAUACCAAGGCGCUUGAGAGAACUCGGGUGAAGGAACUAGGCAAAAUGGUGCCGUAACUUCGGGAGAAGGCACGCUGACACGUAGGUGAAGUGAUUUACUCAUGGAGCUGAAGUCAGUCGAAGAUACCAGCUGGCUGCAACUGUUUAUUAAAAACACAGCACUGUGCAAACACGAAAGUGGACGUAUACGGUGUGACGCCUGCCCGGUGCCGGAAGGUUAAUUGAUGGGGUCAGCGCAAGCGAAGCUCCUGAUCGAAGCCCCGGUAAACGGCGGCCGUAACUAUAACGGUCCUAAGGUAGCGAAAUUCCUUGUCGGGUAAGUUCCGACCUGCACGAAUGGCGUAAUGAUGGCCAGGCUGUCUCCACCCGAGACUCAGUGAAAUUGAACUCGCUGUGAAGAUGCAGUGUACCCGCGGCAAGACGGAAAGACCCCGUGAACCUUUACUAUAGCUUGACACUGAACAUUGAGCCUUGAUGUGUAGGAUAGGUGGGAGGCUUUGAAGCGUGGACGCCAGUCUGCGUGGAGCCGACCUUGAAAUACCACCCUUUAAUGUUUGAUGUUCUAACGUGGACCCGUGAUCCGGGUUGCGGACAGUGUCUGGUGGGUAGUUUGACUGGGGCGGUCUCCUCCUAAAGAGUAACGGAGGAGCACGAAGGUUGGCUAAUCCUGGUCGGACAUCAGGAGGUUAGUGCAAUGGCAUAAGCCAGCUUGACUGCGAGCGUGACGGCGCGAGCAGGUGCGAAAGCAGGUCAUAGUGAUCCGGUGGUUCUGAAUGGAAGGGCCAUCGCUCAACGGAUAAAAGGUACUCCGGGGAUAACAGGCUGAUACCGCCCAAGAGUUCAUAUCGACGGCGGUGUUUGGCACCUCGAUGUCGGCUCAUCACAUCCUGGGGCUGAAGUAGGUCCCAAGGGUAUGGCUGUUCGCCAUUUAAAGUGGUACGCGAGCUGGGUUUAGAACGUCGUGAGACAGUUCGGUCCCUAUCUGCCGUGGGCGCUGGAGAACUGAGGGGGGCUGCUCCUAGUACGAGAGGACCGGAGUGGACGCAUCACUGGUGUUCGGGUUGUCAUGCCAAUGGCACUGCCCGGUAGCUAAAUGCGGAAGAGAUAAGUGCUGAAAGCAUCUAAGCACGAAACUUGCCCCGAGAUGAGUUCUCCCUGAGACUUAGAGUCUCCUGAAGGAACGUUGAAGACGACGACGUUGAUAGGCCGGGUGUGUAAGCGCAGCGAUGCGUUGAGCUAACCGGUACUAAUGAACCGUGAGGCUUAACCUUACAACGCCGAAG